Molecule: ribosomal RNA, 253 nt
Filed under: uncultured bacterium
Lineage: Bacteria
Description: partial 16S ribosomal RNA
Rfam family: Bacterial small subunit ribosomal RNA
Source: RNAcentral
UACGAGUGCCCCAAGCGUUAUCCGGAAUCACUGGGCGUAAAGCGUGUGUAGGUGGUUGUAUUAGUCUUUUGUUAAAUUCUUCGGCUUAACCGGGGACAUGCGAAGGAAACGGUACAACUAGAGGAUGCAAGGGGUUGACGGAACUCAUGGAGUAGGGGUGAAAUCCGUUGAUAUCAUGGGGAACACCAAAAGCGAAGGCAGUCAACUGGUGCACUCCUGACACUGAAACACGAAAGCGUAGGUAGCGAAUGGG